RNAcentral lists this ribosomal RNA (497 nucleotides) under uncultured bacterium. RNAcentral describes it as "partial 16S ribosomal RNA". It matches the Rfam family "Bacterial small subunit ribosomal RNA", at positions 28 to 507 of the family's 1533-position model. The record is from RNAcentral.
GAUGAACGCUGGCGGCGUGCCUAAUACAUGCAAGUCGAGCGAACAGAUGAGGAGCUUGCUCCUCUGACGUUAGCGGCGGACGGGUGAGUAACACGUGGAUAACCUACCUAUAAGACUGGGAUAACUUCGGGAAACCGGAGCUAAUACCGGAUAAUAUAUUGAACCGCAUGGUUCAAUAGUGAAAGACGGUUUUGCUGUCACUUAUAGAUGGAUCCGCGCCGCAUUAGCUAGUUGGUAAGGUAACGGCUUACCAAGGCCACGAUGCGUAGCCGACCUGAGAGGGUGAUCGGCCACACUGGAACUGGGACACGGUCCAGACUCCUACGGGAGGCAGCAGUAGGGAAUCUUCCGCAAUGGGCGAAAGCCUGACGGAGCAACGCCGCGUGAGUGAUGAAGGUCUUCGGAUCGUAAAACUCUGUUAUUAGGGAAGAAAAAAUGUGUAAGUAACUAUGCACGUCUUGACGGUACCUAAUCAGAAAGCCACGGCUAACUACGUG